AGCGAACGCUGGCGGCAGGCUUAACACAUGCAAGUCGAGCGGGCGUAGCAAUACGUCAGCGGCAGACGGGUGAGUAACGCGUGGGAACGUACCUUUUGGUUCGGAACAACACAGGGAAACUUGUGCUAAUACCGGAUAAGCCCUUACGGGGAAAGAUUUAUCGCCGAAAGAUCGGCCCGCGUCUGAUUAGCUUGUUGGUGAGGUAACGGCUCACCAAGGCGACGAUCAGUAGCUGGUCUGAGAGGAUGAUCAGCCACAUUGGGACUGAGACACGGCCCAAACUCCUACGGGAGGCAGCAGUGGGGAAUAUUGGACAAUGGGCGCAAGCCUGAUCCAGCCAUGCCGCGUGAGUGAUGAAGGCCCUAGGGUUGUAAAGCUCUUUUAACGGGGAAGAUAAUGACGGUACCCGUAGAAUAAGCCCCGGCUAACUUCGUGCCAGCCGCCGCGGUAA
Molecule: ribosomal RNA, 451 nt
Filed under: uncultured bacterium
Lineage: Bacteria
Description: partial 16S ribosomal RNA
Rfam family: Bacterial small subunit ribosomal RNA
Source: RNAcentral